RNAcentral lists this unclassified non-coding RNA (240 nucleotides) under soil metagenome. Its description in RNAcentral is "partial contains 5.8S ribosomal RNA, internal transcribed spacer 2, and large subunit ribosomal RNA". The record is from RNAcentral.
AAGACUAUAGACCUGCGGAGUACCUGCGGAAGGAUCAUUAACGUAUCUAUGAUGGGGUGCGGAGCGCCCUGCUCCGGUCGAACGGCCGUGCAGCGGGUGCGCCGCCCCCGUCCCACCUUACAAACCCACUGUGAACAUUCACCGGUGGAGGGGGCUCGGUCUGCGCCGUGUCCCCGAUGCCGAAUACCCAAACUCCAGUUGCAAAGAACGUCGUGCGGACUCGGUGCCGCCUAAAACAUG